This 450-nucleotide ribosomal RNA is filed under the name uncultured bacterium. Its description in RNAcentral is "bacterial SSU rRNA". It matches the Rfam family "Bacterial small subunit ribosomal RNA", at positions 340 to 782 of the family's 1533-position model. The record is from RNAcentral.
UACGGAAGGCAGCAGUGGGGAAUAUUGCACAAUGGGCGCAAGCCUGAUGCAGCCAUGCCGCGUGUAUGAAGAAGGCCUUCGGGUUGUAAAGUACUUUCAGUCGUGAGGAAGGUGUUAAGGUUAAUAACCUUAGCAAUUGACGUUAGCGACAGAAGAAGCACCGGCUAACUCCGUGCCAGCAGCCGCGGUAAUACGGAGGGUGCGAGCGUUAAUCGGAAUUACUGGGCGUAAAGGGCACGCAGGCGGUUAAUUAAGUUGGAUGUGAAAUCCCCGGGCUUAACCUGGGAAUGGCAUUCAAGACUGGUUAGCUAGAGUCUUGUAGAGGGGGUAGAAUUCCAUGUGUAGCGGUGAAAUGCGUAGAGAUGUGGAGGAAUACCGGUGGCGAAGGCGGCCCCUGGACAAAGGCUGACGCUCAUGUGCGAAAGCGUGGGGAGCAAACGAGGGAUUAUA